UAAUCAAGACGACAGAACAGCACAAACACCAGUACCAGGGAUCCAGAGGUAGAUAAUCAAGACGACAGAACACCACAAACACCAGUACCAGGGAUCCAGAGGUAGAUAAUCAAGACGACAGAACAGCACAAACACCAGUACCAGGGAUCCAGAGGUAGAUAAUCAAGACGACAGAACAGCACAAACACCAGUACCAGGGAUCCAGAGGUAGAUAAUCAAGACGACAGAACACCACAAACACCAAUACCAUUACACAGUGUCCCAAAUACAUUGACCCAGUUUUAAAGCAAAUUGCCUUAAAUUUGGGUCCAUCCUUUUAAAAAACUGUUUAAAUCGGGUUCGUUAUACAAUGAAUUACUUAGGUAUUAUGUACAAUGUAACAGCCAUGUUUUAUAUUCAUUAUAUUAGUUAGGUAAAAGUCUCUAACGAGAAUAAUAAAAAUAUGCCACAUUUA
This is a non-coding RNA of Cherax quadricarinatus, 454 nucleotides long. The record is from RefSeq and is a predicted model, not a curated record. NCBI's taxonomy places the organism in Eukaryota, Metazoa, Arthropoda, Malacostraca, Decapoda, Parastacidae.